RNAcentral lists this long non-coding RNA (236 nucleotides) under Ananas comosus (pineapple). Its description in RNAcentral is "long non-coding RNA (ACOM_LNC026886)". Lineage: Eukaryota; Viridiplantae; Streptophyta; Magnoliopsida; Poales; Bromeliaceae. The record is from RNAcentral.
UCGACACCUAUGGUUCUCGCUCAAAUAACCGGAAUGCAAUUAUGUACUUGCAAGACCGACAGUCUCUAGAGCAAGUGGCAAAGGACUUAGUGGUUGGUACCUGAGACCCAAGUUCGAAUCCUAGUUGGUUCACAUUUCCAGCUAAGUUUAUUUCUAAAUGAAAUAAACGAAGCAGAUAGCGUGCUACCUAUUUCUCUCAAAAAAAAAAAAUUAUGAAUUGCAAGGUUAUUUCUAUA